UAGGGAAUAUUGCAAAAUGGGCGAAAGCCCGAUGCAGCAACGCCGCGUGGGCGAUGAAGGCCUUCGGGUCGUAAAGCCCUUUUUGAGGGGAUGAGGAAGGACAGUACCCUCAGAAUAAGCCUCGGCUAACUACGUGCCAGCAGCCGCGGUAAAACGUAGGAGGCGAGCGUUAUCCGGAUUUACUGGGUGUAAAGCGCGUGCAGGCGGAUUGGAGAGUUGGAUGUGAAAGCUCCCGGCUUAACUGGGAGAGGUCGUUCAAUACUUCCAGUCUUGAGUGCAGUAGAGGGAAGUGGAAUUCCGGGUGUAGUGGUGAAAUGCGUAGAUAUCCGGAGGAACACCAGUGGCGAAAGCGGCUUCCUGGACUGUAACUGACGCUCAGACGCGAAAGCUAGGGUAGCAAACG
RNAcentral lists this ribosomal RNA (403 nucleotides) under uncultured bacterium. Its description in RNAcentral is "bacterial SSU rRNA". It matches the Rfam family "Bacterial small subunit ribosomal RNA", at positions 355 to 774 of the family's 1533-position model. The record is from RNAcentral.